GAAAUGUCAAAUCUGACCCAAUCCAAUCGGGACUGUAAGCAUACCCGUCCCCGGGACUGUGAAUACACCCGUCCCUGCCCCGUUGCGACUAUCAGGCUCUAUCCACACUAACUGGUCCGUGGAGAGCAAGUCCAACUGGCAUGAGCGACACCAACGCGAAAGCACAAAGCCUGACUCCGGAGUGGCACUCGUGGGCGCUACCCAACCGAGUAUGCAGCGUAUCUCUGUCGAGCUCAAACAGGCUCUGAAAAGCCAAAGUCAAGUAACCGACUCAAACUGGUCUAACCACCAACAGGUAAUGUGCCCUCGGCACAAUCUGACGCCAAAAAGGCGAUACGGGUCCACCGUCAACUCUGACGGCACCCACCAGUCGGGAACAACCUGAACGAUCCUGUAAAAAUCCACUCGGCGCACCAGCACGAGCGUAAAUGUAAUCUAAACUACCUGGAGUACUCGUCUCGAAGAUACUGCGACAGUACAAUUUAAUAACGGCUCCUAGAGCUAAAUCAGGCAGUUUAAACAAGUGACAGGUCCAAAUCGCAGGUUUUCUCCUAAUUCAAUUUCCAAGUCCAACAUGUAUAACCUACUUAAUUUAUUACCACAUGCUCCAAAUUCAGAUUUGCAAUCUACAAUAUAAUCCAUGAAUUCGAGCUAGAAUAGAGUAUCCAAAGGUCGAAAAUUAUACAUGCCGACGAAUAUGAACUUAGGAGUAAAAACCGAUGUAACCCACCUCUCAAGCAACUCCUGGCAGCGAAGAAAGCGUUAAAUCCGACCAAGCUAACCUUAUCCAAAUUCAGCAAACAAGGGUCCUGAAGCUUCGUCUCGAAGUCACGAAUCCAAUGGCCCAGGUUUCGCUGAAUUCCGACGCUCCUACGCAGAGAACGGGCCAGAAUACGAAACGUCGACGCUGGAACCUGCGAAACAGCAUCUCUGAAAUCUGCUCGGCAAACAGCAGCCUAGUAAAACUAGGGUUCGACAGGGCAAACCUGCUCCAAAAAUCGCGAUCUUGGGCUCAGAAUCUUCGUCUCGAAGUCGUGAAUCUAGCACGUCAAAUUUCGUCGCGUUUCGACACUCCUACACAGAGAACUAGGUAAAACACGGCGGGUCGAUGCUGGAAUCAGCAAUCAGCACUUCAGAGUCUACUCGGCAAACAGCAACUCAGUAAAAAGGGAUUUUGACAGAGCAAACCUUCUCCAAAUCGGGCGAGUAAGAAUCCUAUGGAUUCGUCUCGAAGUCCCGGUUCCAACGAACCAAAUCUCGUCGAAAUCCGAUGCUCCUACGUCGCGUACGAGGUGAAAUACUAACAGUCGACGACAAGAUCCUGCGAAUCAGCACUUAAGCUCGAAUUGAAUGAAGCUUGAAGUAGAGAAGAAAUCCAUGGAGGAAUGAGAGAUUACCCACCUCAACCAGCGACUCCAAUUCCGGCACGGCGUCGAGAAUGACGAAAUCACACCUUCGCCCGGCCUCCUCACAAUGCUACGACGACGAACGCACGCUCGAACGGCACUGCGGCGCAACGUCGACGACGAAAACCUCCCGAGCUCGAGCUCUCCACCGUGCCCACGAGCUAACAUAAAGAGAGAGAGAGGAUAGCAACCUUAAUUAGUAGCACCUGCCACCUUAUCCUAAUUAAGGCGGUGGGAUAAGGUUGAAAGGUGACAAUUAUCCAAAAGCCCCUCACCUAUUACGAUAUUCAACUUUAGUCCUCUACUUUGAAACUUGAGUUUUAAAGUCUGUUUUUUUUACAUCUAUUCUGCACAAAACGUCUCGAGCUCAAUCAAGCAUAACUUAUACUAUAACCUUACUAAUUUGCUAAGGUUUAGUAUCUCAGAUUAGUGGUGCAACCGACCUUAUUGGAGAGGAUAAAAGAGCUACAAGCUUCCGAUGAGUAUCUCCAAAAGGUGCGCGGUGAAGUUGAGAGCAAUAGUGCCGAGACUUUGGCAUUGAGACCGACGGCACACUUUGAUUUCGGAAUCGUUGGUGUGUACCUAAGAACAAGGACAUCCGCAAGGCGAUUAUGCAAGAAGCGCAUCAAACUCCUUAUAGUAUCCACCCCGGCGGCACCAAGAUGUACCAAGAUUUGAAAUUGCAUUAUUGGUGGUCGGGCAUGAAGAAAGACAUUGGGGAGUUUGUUGCGCAAUGUCUUACUUGCUAACAAGUAAAAGCAGAGCGGCGGUUUCCUGUGGGAAAAUUACAAAGCCUACCUAUAAAAGCUGAAAAGUUCAAGAAAGAUUUUGCUACCCUUAAAAUAUGUAGAUUUUCUAAAUCAAUUUGCGAGCUUCACUGUCACUACUAGAAAAUUAGUUAUUAGUGGUUUUUAUUUACGCUGCUAAAAGAUUAACGAAUAUUGCUAAAAGUAUAUAUGACACCAAAUAUUGCCUAUAUCAAUGUUGCUAAAAGUAUUAGUAACAUUUAUAAUGAAUGCCACAAGUAUAAAUCAAUUGGUGUUAUUAGGAACAUGCCGCUAAAAUGAUUUUUUUUUUUUUUUUUGAGAGAGAUAGGUAGCACGCUACCUGCUUCGUUUAUUUCAUUUAGAAAUAAACUUAGCUAGAAAUGUGAAUCAACUAGGAUUCGAACCUGAGUCUCGAGUACCAACCAUCAAACCCUUUGUCACUUGCUCUAGGGACGGUCGGUUGCUAAAAUGCUUGUUAAAUGUUAAUUUUAAGUUGUUUAUUAGUGGCGCAAGAAUAUAAUGCCACUAAUACAAAUACCUGAUUUUAUGGACUUAAAUUUUAAAAUUUUUAUUUUUGUAUUCAAUUUUAAAAUUAAAAUUAAAAUUUAUAUUUAUAUUUGAAUUUAUUAUUUUUUAGAUAAAGGUAGCAUGCUACAUGUUUUUUUUAUUUCUUUUAGAAAUGAACUUAACGGGAUAUGUGAAUCAACAAGUAUUCGAACUUGAGGCCUCAAGUACAAACCAACAAUCCUUUUGUCACUUGCGCUAGAGACAAUCAAUUAUAUAUAUUUGAAUUUUUAAGUUUUAAAUUUAAGAUUAUAAUUUCAAGUUUUUAAAAUUCAAAUUCUAAAAUAUUAAACUUUAAUUCAAAAUUUUAAAUUCUAAGUAUAAAAUGGGAUAUAUUAAUAAUUAUAUAUUGAUUAGUGAAGGCAUUUAGCAAUAAGUGUUACUCUUUUGUUACAUUUAGUACCAUUUUUUAUAAAAUACUUGAAACUUUAGCGGCAUUUACUAAUUUACGCUACCAAUUUAUUCUAUUUUACAACAUUAUCAAGUAAUGCUAUUAAAUAUAUUAAUUAGUAUUCUUUAAAUAAAUGCUACAGAGUAAAUACCGCUAAAUUAUAAAUUUGUUGUAGUUUAUAUAUAAUAAGACUAUCUUUAAUUCAAAACUGCAAGCAAGAAGAUUUCCCCAGUUUUUUUUUAUUAUUUUGGUAGCAAAAUCAAGUUACAAAUAGCAGCCAAACACCUUUUGAACUACUUAUGUGCUCCCUAAUAAAGAAAUUCUUUUAUCAUAAACAAUAUCUUUUGACAUCCAAGCACUACAACAAAAACGGUCUAUAGCGACAUUUUUAAAUAUAGGUACAUGUCAAAAAAGUGCUGCUAGCUAAAAUUACCAACACUUUUAAAAAGUGUUGCUAUAUAUGGGGUCGCUAAGUAUAUACUAACAGUUAAAGAGCGUCGCUAUAACCUAAAAGAGUGCUGCUAAUUUACCAACACUUAUUUAAGCAUUUAGCAACUGCCGAAACUCUAUCUCGUUGGCUGCGGUGGCGGAGGAGGACGACAGUAAAGACUCUUCGUCUAGAAUUUCAGUGGAUUAAGUGAAGAGAGAAGAAAAGAUGGUAAUUGAUUUUUCUUUUUUUUUUUUCUUUUCUGUUUGUAAUCGGGCCAAAUGGACUGGGUGUGGUGGGUUGAGUAGAGUAAUUUUUUAUUUUUGAUUGGAUUGGGCUUUAUAUUUAGGCAUUAGUAGAUGUGUUUUUAAGUUUUAGCAUAAAUGGGACACUUACUCAAAAGUAUCCCAAACAUAUGUCCCUAUAACCUAAUUCUGUUGUAGUGAAGUGAUCAUACUCAGUUUUACAUAGUAGUGAGACGACAUUAUUGGGACAUUAUAAAAGUGUGAUAUUUGUUAGAAGCAGGAAAUUUUUAUUAGUGCUAUUUUUUUUUUGUUUUCAAAAGAGUUAUUUGGAUGGCUUUUAUAGACUUGCAUAACACAACAAAAUAAUCUCAUUCUUAUGUAAUUUUGGGGUAAAAUGAAAUAAGCUUAAAUCUACAAAAUUUUGGAGUAAAGUAAGAGUAAAACAUCUUAACCAUUCAUCAUUGCCUGUUUCUCAAAAUUUCUCUUUAAAUUGAGGUACUUUUAGUAAAAUUCAAAGCAAGUUAUAGUGUCCAAGCACAUUACAUACAAAGUUUUUUUAUUUGAAAUAAUGCUAUUUUCAACAAAUUUUUAUGCCAUUGAAAAAAAAAAACUAUGAAUUAAAUUUAGAGUUCCUAAUUUGGUCCAAAAUGUUUUUACCGUCCACUGUAACUAUAUUUCGGUAACUCUAACAAAUUUAGUUCUAGCCUUCAAAAGUAACUAAAUUUAGUUCUAGCCUCCAAAAGUAACUAACCCUUUACAUUUUAGAGAAGCAUUUAUGUAGUGGAUUGCCUACUGAAUCCACAGAUUUCUUUCUUACUCCAAGAUAUCUUAUGGAUUUUUUUUUUUAGCUUUAUCUAUUUUAGUCUUAUAUAUAUAUGUAUAUAUCUUUCCUGUUUUUCGUGAUUUACUUCUUUGCAAAACAUCAACCAUGGCCGGAUUCAUCUAUUCACAUGUUACCUUUCUUCCUUUAAUAUCCAUUCUACUCCUUUCCUCUGAAGCUGUUGAAGCACUCAAAAGAAUCUUAAGCUUCGAGCUAAUAUAUCGUCACUCUCCUCGGUCCCCAGUUUACAAUCCUAACCUCACUGAUUCACAACGCUUUGAAGAGUCCCUCCGCCUUUCCGAGAACCGAUUCCUCCAACUGAACAACGUCGAAUCAAAGCUAGUUGGCCAUGAAACAACCACUAUUCGCUCCCAUGUCAUCAUCUAUGAAGCAUUAUACAUGGUUUUUGUGACGAUUGGCACUGGAAAUGGUAGCAUUGGCUACCAUUUAGACCUAGAUACAGGCAGUUAUCUUACUUGGACCCAAUGCAAGCCAUGCAUCAAUUGCUAUGUGCAAAAUGAACCUUACUUCGACCCUCUCCAAUCCCCUUCCUUCGUCGACGUCUCCUGUUCUGACCAGAACCCUUGCCCGCAAAGAUAUUACCAUUGCAUCAACAACCGUUGCCACUACCAGAUCAGCUAUAUUGAUGGGUCCCACACAAUUGGCACGCUCUCAAAAGACACCUUUGGCUUCCAUUCAAACCAUGGUGACCAUCUUGAGUUUGUUGAGGGGCUUGUCUUUGGUUGCUCACAUGAUACACAUUUUGGCAACUACGAUGGUUAUCCAUCAGGAUUAAUGGCAUUAGGUUUGUCUGAGGAAUCAUUUGCGAGGCAACUUAUCAAUCAUGGUAGCCAGGGUCGCUUUUCAUACUGUCUUCCCCCGAUAGGUUCAAAGAGUAUAAGCUUUUUACGAUUCGGAAGCAACAUUGUGCAAAGAGGGCCAGUCCAAACCACACCGAUAGUACCUAUACAAGGUGUGUGCUUCUAUUACAUCACCUUAAAUGACAUUAGUGUUGGCAACAAACGACUUGGGUUUGAGCCAGGAAUGUUUGCGCGAAAGCCGAAUAGGUCGGGCGGGUUCUUUGUGGACUCCGGCACGUUCGUCACUCACUUGAUAACCCCAGCUUUUGAACAAGUGAAGAAAGUGCUUAGAGGUUAUUUCCGCCAUAAGAAAUUGGUUGAAGUGGACCCACAAAGAUACGAGACAAAUCUUAAACUUUGUUGGCUUUUCCAACCAAGUUAUGAGAGCUUAAUGCCGAGCAUGACAUUGCAUUUACAAGGGGCCCAGAUGCAUAUCAUGUGGCGAGAGUUGUUCCUCAUUACAUGGGAGAAGGGAGUAUUUUGCUUUGCAAUGUUGCCACGGGACAAUUCAAGUAUUCUCGGGGCAUACCAACAAGCAAAUACUCGAUUUACUUUUGAUGUGGUACAAUCACAGCUAGCCUUCAAUCCAGAGAAUUGUGAACAUGACUCCCAACCAUGAAAGAGAGCAAUGGGAAACUAAAACCCUGAAUAAUGUGCCCAUAUAGAUGUUUUUCUUUUUUAAUAGCUUUUAUCUAAAGCUAAUCUAAAGUAAGAUUAUUUUUAGAGAACAAAUCUUUAUAUGUAAAACUAUUUGUAUGCUGAGAUCACUGAAUCUACUAUUCACUUUAUGUCAUGCCCCGGGCUGCACAGUCCCCCGGGCACGCCGACAAAUCCGCCGUAUACAAGAGAAUUUCUCCGGUAUACGAAGCGUAGCUGAACCUGUAUAAAUAUACAAUACUACAAGCAGUAGUAUAGAGCUGAAGUAAACAAUAAACAAGCAGGUAGAAAUAACAAACUUAAUAUACCUACAUCAGCCCCGGAUACAAGAGAACACUACUCGCUCCAGCGAGUUCAACUGUAUGUACAAAAGCGCCCGAACAAAAACUGUCACUACCUGCAGCGGGAGUCCUCUAGCACUGUACUCGGAGGGUAGGCUCUAACUCGCCACGCCUUUCCCGCGGUCCGCCUCAGAAGGAGCAGCCGCCGAAACAGAAGGCCCUGCAACAUCGGUGGAAGAAAGAGGGCGUGAGAACUACUAUAAAAGCAAGUAGUCCUCAGUGGGUGCCGCCCUAAACAACACCGGUCCACCCACUAAGUCUACAGGGUAAGCAAGAUAGAAGAAAAUGAAGCUGGAAACUCUCUACAGCUACAAGUCGCUAUGCUAUCAUGCCCAGAACUAACACCUAUAGACUCAAGUCAACCAGACCCAAUCCGAAGGGGACUGUGAACGCACCCGUCCCUGGGACUGUGAACGCACUCGUCCCGUGCCCGGUUGUGACUGCACAGCUACCCCCACUCUAAACCUCAGUGGAGAGCAAGUCCAACCUGCACUACCCGACACCGACGCGAAAGCACAAAGCCUAACUC
RNAcentral lists this long non-coding RNA (7007 nucleotides) under Ananas comosus (pineapple). Its description in RNAcentral is "long non-coding RNA (ACOM_LNC043731)". Lineage: Eukaryota; Viridiplantae; Streptophyta; Magnoliopsida; Poales; Bromeliaceae. The record is from RNAcentral.